ACCUGGCUGGCUUAGUUGGUGGAGCCUGUGACUCUUGACCUCAAGGUUGUAGGUUCAAGCCCCAUGUUGGGUG
This 73-nucleotide transfer RNA is filed under the name Felis catus (domestic cat). It matches the Rfam family "tRNA". Rfam says of the family: Transfer RNA (tRNA) molecules are approximately 80 nucleotides in length. Their secondary structure includes four short double-helical elements and three loops (D, anti-codon, and T loops). The record is from Rfam by way of RNAcentral. Lineage: Eukaryota; Metazoa; Chordata; Mammalia; Carnivora; Felidae. RNAcentral also lists the same sequence under 5 other names.